This is a long non-coding RNA of Columba livia (rock pigeon), 2083 nucleotides long. RefSeq lists it as uncharacterized. The transcript has 2 exons. The record is from RefSeq and is a predicted model, not a curated record. NCBI's taxonomy places the organism in Eukaryota, Metazoa, Chordata, Aves, Columbiformes, Columbidae.
GAAGGCACAUGCGUGACAUCCAUUUGCCAUAUCUCAUUAGGACCCAACCCCCUAGGAUUAACCCCUACGCCUAGACCAGAACCAUGAUGACUACACUGAGGGCAAGUCCGUACAAUUCCCUUAGCUUCCUCUACAGUGAUCUUAAACUGUGAAUGUAAUCCUUUCGCGUUCUGAUGGAACACACUAUGUGAUUCUCUAGCCUUGGCAAAAUCACUAACAGGGGCAGAACAUGCUACCAACCUAUCUGCUCUAGCAUUCCCUUCCCCAAGGCCACAAUCCCACAUAUGACUACGGAUAUGAAUCACUGCAUAUGGUUUUGUUCUUCCUUGUACCAAUGUACGCAACUGUCUAAACAGUUCUCCCAAGCGCAGUUGCUUAACACCCUUAAUCUGAGAAUCUUCUAUCCUGUGUAACACACCCGCGACAUACAGCGAAUCGGUCACAAUAUUAAUUGUUUCCUCUCUCCACUUUCCCAUGGCCCAUACAACAGCAGCAAGCUCCAAUGUCUGCAAGGAAUCUCCCGGAACAGCUUCCAGCAAGUGGUGGUGCCACUCACCACAAGCGAUCCAGAGAGAUCCACCGGAGUGGAGGGAUCGGUUCCACGCAGCAAUGGUCGUAACACCUCUAACUGCGUAUUGGUAAUACCCACGACAGGCCUCAACCAUUGUAAAUCCCCCAUGAGUUUCUGAACAUCAUGAAGUGUCCUAAUAUCUGUGGUAAUAUGCGGUUUUUGCGGUCGAAUUUGGGAGUCAGUAAUUUUCCACCCUAAGUACAACCACGGUUCUUGUCGCUGAAUUUUUUCCUUAGCAAUUACUAAACCCUCCUUAUACAACUGACAAUGUAAAAAUUGCAAUUGUUGCUCAGUAAAGUCUUGUUCUUGUGCAAUAAGAAUAUCAUCCAUGUAGUGAUACACCAUCGCUGUAGGCCAGGCAUCACGAAUAGGACGCAACGCAUUGUCCACAAACAAUUGACACAAUGUCGGACUAUUUUUCAUUCCUUGCGGUAACACAGUCCACUCAAACCGCUGAGCAGGAGCUUCCCUAUUUAUUGCUGGCAAAGUGAAGGCAAAUCGCUGUGUAUCGAGGUGGUGCAAAGAAAUAGUAAAAAAGCAAUCCUUCAAAUCCACAAUUAACAACUUCCAGUGUUCAGGAAGCAUUGCCGGAUUCGGAAGACCAGGUUGUAAUGCUCCCAUCGGUUGCAUUUGUGCAUUUACAGCUCUCAAAUCAUGAAGCAGUCGGAACUUUCCUGAUUUUUUCUUAAUCACAAAUAUAGGCGUAUUCCAUGGGCUUGUUGACAGUUGCAAAUGUCCUUGAUCAAACUGUUCUUGUACCAACUGAUGUGCUGCUGCAAGACUUUCCAUUUUCAACGGCCACUGCUCGAUCCAUACAGGGUCAUCUGAAGUCCAUUUAAGAGGGAUCGGGAAAGCCCAUUUUGCAGUGACCAUUAGCGAAAAGCCCUUUCAGUUGUCAAAACAGCUCCUAGCUGAUCCAAUAUAUCUCGGCCUAUUAGUCCAUUUACACCUGCAGGAAGAGUCAUCACUGUAACAAAUGAAUUGGCUUUUCGCCCGUCUAUGAUGAACAGGAUACGUUCAAUACUUUGACGUACUGAUGAAUGACCUCCUACUCCUUCAACACCCCCGUCCAUAGGUUUUGUUGGCCAAUCCUGAGGCCAGGUGCCCUCAUCUACGAUGGUCAAAUCAGCCCCAGUGUCCAGUAACAUUGUAAGUAAAAUAGAUUGUCCUCUAGAUUCCAUUCGAACUGACGCAGUUGGUCGCCGGCUCAUUGACAUAGUUAGCAUCACAGCAGGUCCUGUCGAUCCAAAUCCACCACCUCCUCUUUCUGAAGAUAAUGCUGGCGUCAUGUCCUUUGUUAAUUGCGGAAGUGGUAUCAAUUGUGCUAUUUGACUACCCUUCGGAAUGAAAAUCGGAGGAAACAGUGUCUGAACCAUAAUUUGUACAAUCCCUUUGUAAUCGGCAUCAAUAAGUCCCGGGAUAAUCGUAAGGCCUUUCAUACCACUCGACGAACGACCAAUUAACAAUGCCCCUUGUGAUUGUCCAUUAAUUAUUAAAGGUCCUUUAAAGGUG